UUCUUUUCCCUUCUGGUUUAUUCCUAUUCCCUUCUUUUUUGGGAAGCUGUAUUUAUCUUGUAUUUACUUUUGUAUUUAUCUUACCUUUUUAGAGGUGUUGUGCCUGCUUCUGCUGGCUUCAAAAAGGAACAGGGAGCUCUACAGUAGAAGCCUGAAGGUGAGGUGGGCUGGCCUCUCUGCCUGCCUGUGCUCCUUCCUUCCCCCUGGAAAGUUCACCACAUGAGACUUUGAUAGGCUUCUUCUUACCCUAUUUGUUUUACUUUUCCUCCCCCCUUUCGUGUUCUCCUUUCUCUUUUUCUUCCCUAUUUAUUUCUUCAAUUUUCUCUUUACUUCCCCUUUCUUCCCUCUUUCUUCUUGCUCUUUCUUUUUCAUCCCCUUUAUGUUUCCGUUUCCCUUCCUCUUUCCCUUUCCCUUCCACUUCCCCUUUCUCUUUCCCUUUCCCUUCCUUUCCCUUUUCCUUCCCUUUUCUCUUUCCUUUCCCUUUUUGUUUCCCCUCCCUUCCCUUCUUUGCCUCAAGAAGCUGUAUUUAUCUUGUAUUUACUUACUGUAUUAUCUUACCUUUUUUAGAGACUGUUGGCCUGCUUCUGCUGGCUUCAAAAAGGAACAGGGAGCUCUACAGUAGAAGCCUGAAGUUGAGGUGGGGUGGCCUCUCUGCCUGUACUCCUUCCUUCCUCCUGAGAUAGGAGAGCAGAGACGAUCCGCUUUUGGGAGCCGGGCUGAAAACGGCUGCGCCGUAACCCGCAUAGUACAUCAGGAUCACUCCGUCGGGCAAGCGGCUCCAUCUAGCGGCCGUGGCCCGUUUCAUGCCGGACGCUCAGUGAUGUCACCAACGAAUGAGCUGACGUUACAGCACGGGGCGACCCUUCCCCGAUCCCGGGCAGCCCCAGGAUCUUUCUGGGAGCGAUAUGAGCAGAGCAGGGGUGGGGUGCAUUGUAACCCCUCUUCUCAGCGUCACCCGCAGGUUCACCAGCAACUCACUGCAGCGCUCCCUGAGAACCACUGAAAGGGCUUGGUGCUGUGAGCACCUGGAGGAGCUCUUUGUGAUAGGGAGUGGCUGAAUGUUGCUUCCGGCUUUGCUGCUGGCUAGAUUUGCUGUGUGGACUGAUAUCAAAUGCAUUACAGUAGUUUGAGGCACCGGGAGAUGACUGCCAGGCCCUCUGUCAAAGGAAAAACAAGUCUUUUGGCAGUGUGAAAAAUAAACUGGGCUGUUCUCCAGUAGCA
This 1221-nucleotide long non-coding RNA is filed under the name Coturnix japonica (Japanese quail). RNAcentral describes it as "lncRNA (ENSCJPG00005002193.1)". The record is from RNAcentral. Lineage: Eukaryota; Metazoa; Chordata; Aves; Galliformes; Phasianidae.